GGGGCGGUUCGAUGGUGUCGACGGUACGGACUCGAGACCCGUGCCGCCGUGGGUUCAAUUCCCACCCGCUCCA
This is a transfer RNA of 73 nucleotides. It matches the Rfam family "tRNA". Rfam says of the family: Transfer RNA (tRNA) molecules are approximately 80 nucleotides in length. Their secondary structure includes four short double-helical elements and three loops (D, anti-codon, and T loops).